AUUGAACGCUGGCGGAAUGCUUUACACAUGCAAGUCGAACGGCAGCACGGACUUCGGUCUGGUGGCGAGUGGCGAACGGGUGAGUAAUACAUCGGAACGUGCCCAGUCGUGGGGGAUAACGUAGCGAAAGCUACGCUAAUACCGCAUACGAUCUACGGAUGAAAGCGGGGGAUCGCAAGACCUCGCGCGAUUGGAGCGGCCGAUGGCAGAUUAGGUAGUUGGUGGGGUAAAGGCUCACCAAGCCGACGAUCUGUAGCUGGUCUGAGAGGACGACCAGCCACACUGGGACUGAGACACGGCCCAGAGUCCUACGGGAGGCAGCAGUGGGGAAUUUUGGACAAUGGGCGCAAGCCUGAUCCAGCCAUUCCGCGUGCAGGAUGAAGGCCCUCGGGUUGUAAACUGCUUUUGUACGGAACGAAAAGGCUCUGGUUAAUACCCGGGGCUCAUGACGGUACCGUAAGAAUAAGCACCGGCUAACUACGUGCCAGCCGCCGCCGUAA
This 500-nucleotide ribosomal RNA is filed under the name uncultured bacterium. RNAcentral's name for it is "partial 16S ribosomal RNA". It matches the Rfam family "Bacterial small subunit ribosomal RNA", at positions 30 to 523 of the family's 1533-position model. The record is from RNAcentral.